AGCCGAUGAUGGUUUCAGUAUCAGAGUAGUUGACAGAAGUGAUUUCUGAAAACUCCGUACUGAGGCU
Molecule: small nucleolar RNA, 67 nt
Filed under: Zosterops borbonicus
Lineage: Eukaryota; Metazoa; Chordata; Aves; Passeriformes; Zosteropidae
Also listed under: 3 other names
Description: Small nucleolar RNA SNORD75
Rfam family: Small nucleolar RNA SNORD75
About the family: U75 (SNORD75) belongs to the C/D class of snoRNAs which contain the C (UGAUGA) and D (CUGA) box motifs. Most of the members of the box C/D family function in directing site-specific 2'-O-methylation of substrate RNAs.
Source: Rfam by way of RNAcentral